Orcinus orca (killer whale) is the source of this 8241-nucleotide long non-coding RNA. RefSeq lists it as uncharacterized. The transcript has 3 exons. The record is from RefSeq and is a predicted model, not a curated record. Lineage: Eukaryota; Metazoa; Chordata; Mammalia; Artiodactyla; Delphinidae.
AGAAAAGGCCCUCCUUUAGCUGAGGUAUAAACUACUUUUUCCCAAAUUUUGAGAUGUCUCCACCGAUCUCUGCCCGCAGGGCAGAACCAAGACAGACAGGCGCCCCAAGGAUAAUUUGGACCCUUCCUGGACAAUGUUCUUUCUUCACUUUAUUUUUUUUUAAAUUUUAUUUAUUUUUGACUGUGUUGGGUCUUUGUUGCUGCGUGCGGGCUUUCUCCAGUUGAGGCGAACAGUGGCUUCUCUUCGUUGCGGUGUGUGGGCUUCUCAUUGUGGUGGCUUCUCUUGUCGCAGAGCACAGGCUCUAGGCACGCAGGCUUCCGAAGCUGCAGUAUGCGGGCUCAGCAGUUGUGGCACACAGGCUUCAGAAGUUGUGGCUCGCGGGCUCUAGAGCUCAGGCUUGGUAGUUGUGGCGCACGGGCUUAGUUGCUCUGUGGCAUGUGGGAUCUUCCCAGACCAGGGAUCAAACCUGUGUCCCCUGCAGUGGCAGGCAGAUUCUUAACCACUGCGCCACCAGGGAAGUCCCCUGACAGUGUUCUUUAAAUAACAAUCCAACAUUUAUUUAGAAGUGGCGGCAAUUUUUACAGAUAAAUAUCAUGUAUCCUUUAUGUUUUGUCCAAAGUAAGGGAUCUAUUACAUGCAUCCGUUAGAUGUCAUUCUCCAAACCACACGAGUUAUUGGCAGCCAUAAACAAGUUAAACGGCCUAAAAUGUGGAUAAUGAAAUAAAUCACGCGCUUCCAAUAAAAAGCACUACACUGUGCUGCCUCCAUAGUUUUCAUGAUUCUCGCUGACUCUGACUGUUGGCUCGAGGCGACUCUCGGCUGCCUGAUGUCAGGGCUGGGCUGGGUUUGUGCUGUUGUUCCACCCUAGUUACUCAGGGGAGAGAGACUCAGGUGGCCACACCUGCAGGGUGCGUGGGGGGCAGGAGGCGCCGGAGCGUCAGCCUGGGAAACGUCCAGGUUACCUGCCAGGGUACCUGCCCGGGAGGCAGGUGCAGAGCCUGGGCCUCUAGAACAGUCGGGAGGGUCUGGAACCCCAGGGGAAGUGGCAAAGAGAGCUUCUGCAUUUUCAGCUCAACUCUCUCCUGCACCAUCGGUUCUGAUGCAACACGGGUGCCUCCGUGGGUGCCAAAGGCCCAAGGGCACCUGAACUUUGGCCCAGAGAGCUGCUUCUCCCAUCCUGCGAGGCUGUCAGAGGGUGGGAAGGUGUGUACUCCCCCUGUGCCGAAGGAAUGUCACCCUUUGCCUGGACCGUUGGCGAAUCUCCGUCAAUCGUGGCUUCCUCGGCAGCAGUGGACCCAGUGUCCGUGCCCCAGAUUGUGUCAGGAGUCCAUGUGGAAAGUGGUAACUGACACACGAUCCCAGUCUAUCCCAGCGAGGCCUCAGUGCUCCUGGAGCCCCAGAAGCUCCCCGGAUGGAUGGCCCCUCGUUCUGUCUCUGAACCCAUCACAGCAGAGGCGUUAGGGUCUCCCCAAAGCAGUCACUUGAAGGCGUCCCUCCCGGGCCCUUCCCAUGUCAGGCUUGCUCCCUCCUCUUCCAGACGUGAUGGUGGGGAGGGACACCUGGGUGUCCCCCGGUGUCAGAGGACACCCAGGCCGGCUUCUCUCUCUCCAACUUGCUCAAAGCUUUGACACAGUGACCCAAGGCUGAGAUACUGACUCCACGCUGACAGGUUUGACUAGAGCAGCUCCCUGCGCAUGACAAGGAGAGAGCUGUCGGGCUAAAUGCCAUUCUGACAUUUGAAGGGUGACUCUCAUCUAAUUUUUGGUUGUUUAAAGGCAAGAAGCCUAGAACUCUGUCUUCUUGUUAAAAUGACAAGAAGCAACAAGCAGUUUUUUCUCUUUCUUCUCCCUUAAGAAGUAGGGUCUAAGGGGAACUUGAUGUAUGAUGAACUUACCACCUGGGAGACCUGUCCCUGUGGGAGAGAAACCUGCAAUGCGGUGCAUUUCUGUUCAUCAUCAUCAUCACCGUUACCACACGCUCGCUCGGCAUGCAUGCAAGCAGGACUCUGCCAGGGGCUCUGUCAGGUGAACUGUCACCGUCCCUGACUUCUGGGGUUGCAAAACCCAAGGAAAAGAAUGCUGACGGGCAAAGGGGCGAGUGUAUGGGAACCUCUGGGUGUGCAGCAGUGCUGUGUACAGCAUCACCCACUUUCUAUCAAUAGCUUCCCUGUAAACAGAAUCUGAACAUCUUUGUCAUCUCAGCGUCCACGUCACGGCAGGGAGAGGGGCAACAGUGGGGAGAUGUUGUCAAAGUGACAGCUACUGGAUCAAAGCCCCCAUCCAGCUACUACCCGCAGCUCGGCCCCUCCCCUCCCCAGGACUGGGGCCAGGACCUUCCUCCGGGCUCUCUGAGGCUGGAAGAGCUGGUCCCUCUCCUUUCAGGUCCUCGCAGCCCCACCUUUCGCUGGAGGACAGUUUCUCCUGCUGGUUUGGUUCCUCUGGGCGGUUUGGGGAUUAGUUCCUGAAAACAGGCUGUGGCUUCACUCCCACCUACGCACCUUGGAAUGAGCCUACAGUUUGGGAGGAUUUAUUUGGAAACCUUUUCCAUUCCUCUGGCCAAGAUUACUCAAAGGGUUGGGUCUCUCCAGGAAGAGGAGGCGCUCUUGCGGAACCCACUUGCCCCCAAGGAGACAGAACCCUGUUUCAGGACGAGGUGUUUGUUUCCGACGAGGGUUUUUCAAUCUGGGCACAACUGACAUUUGCGGCUGGAUCGUUCUUUGCUGUGGGUCCUCUCGGCGCCCUGUGGGGUGUUAGCAGCGUCCCUGGCCUCUGCCCACUAGAUGCCCGUGGUACUUCUUCCCUAAGCUGCAUCGAUCAAAACUGUCUCCAGGCGUUGGCAAGCGCUCGGGGGUGUGGGUGAGAGUGGGAGGGUGCAGAAUGCCUUCAGUUGAGGAUCACUGCUUUAGAUGUACUGUAGGUUAAAAUCUUUACCCUAGCAAUAAUAAUUACGCACGCACACAAAGACAACAAUUACUGUUAUUCACGUUAUUAAAUUAGCACAGAAAGCAGAUGGGUCCUAAAGGAAUUUCAGGAUCCCAAACCCCAAACCUUUAGCACUUUGUUAAAGUUCAGGGUCGUUCAUGUUACAUCUGCGGGGUAUAACAAUAGUGACACUAAGAGCAGCCCACAGGACUGAGAGGACCGCGGGCUGCAGACCUGGAGCCCUGAGACCUAGCUUAGCCCUGGGACCCAGCAGGAGGGGAACAGUGGGGUUUGGCCCUUAGUUCCUUCCUUCUUAGAAGGAAGCAAUUGGGCUAAACCUGUGGUUUUCCUGUUUCUUUUGCUGGAAUCCAGGUCGACGGUGGACACACCGCAGUUUAGCAGCAUUGGUGAUCCAAUUGCCCGGGGGGAACACACUCCCUAGUUUGUAGUGGACGUUACCCUUUCUCAUACUUGAUCAGGAGUCCCAGGGCAUUCUGACACUCUGGACGAGAAACGCUGAAGUACAUCGUUUUACUAUCUCUUCCACUCUAAAAUUCUAGAGGCAAAGAGGCUUCUUAUCCUGUCCAGCUUGCCGGUCGGCCAGUCCGGAGGACAGCAUCCUCAGGCCCCGACCCCAGUCCCUGUCUCACCCUCCAAGCUGCCUCUUCGUGUAACCUGCCACACAACUCCUCACUCUGGCCCACUGGUCACAAAUUCAUUCCCCGCCAUUAAGCUUUCCCAUCAGUGAGUCACCUGUUUUUUCAUAGGUUGUGAGACUAGAGCAUACCCUAUGGGUGGGUAAAUAGCCUUUGUCGAAAGAUACUUCCGAGCCCCACUGACUCAUGGGAUCAUCCUGACACCUUCCCCUCCCCCAGCUGCAUUUCUAGAAAGUGUCCUCACGUUUGGUGUCAGUCCCCUCCAGUCAUCAUUCCCAUGGGGUGUUUGUCUGAAGUAGUUACGUGAAGAUAAGAGUUCCAUCUUCACGAAGCGUCUGGAUGGACUGGACUCCUGGCUGCAGCCCACCCUUCUGUCUCUGCCCUUGGCGUGAGGUGUGCAAUCUCCCUGGGUCCCACUUCCGAUCCAUCGAGGCCCUCGGACAUGCGUGGAGGCUCUGCCGUGUGCCGGGCACGUGAGGAUGAGUCAGCCUCGGCCGCCCUCAGAGGAAGCCUCCGUCUAGUAAAGGCUGUGGAUCCAACCCCGUCGCCGUCACACGGGCCGGGUUGUGAAGACGAUUCAACACAGCAGGAGUCAAAUGGCCCAGCGGCCGGGGUGCCAUUGACGUCAGCUCUCAGUGCUGUUAUCGGUUAUUGUUUUCUGAAUAAAAUAAAUGAAAAUUUUUAAGUAAGUGCUAAGCUCUUAGUGGGUACCAAGUUGAAUUGAAUUAAAUAAUUUCUCACUUAGUAUAAGAGAGAGAAAAAGAGAAGAGCAGAAAUGUCUUACUGAUACAGUUUCCUGAGCCUUCGCAGGGCCCGACUGUCCAAGACCAUUGGCCAGGUGUCUGGUGAGCGAGUCUGAGAGGCUUUCCCAGGGCCCAGGGGUGUGACGAUGACACAGCUCUUGGUGACCGUACAGUGUGCUUUGUCUGAGGGACUCGGGCUGGAACUGUGGUCCUUGUGUAUGUGACUCUGGUUUUCAGAUGGAGAAAUUGCACCGUGGGGAACCAUUCUAAAGCACUGACACCGUAUUGCAGGCCACAGGAGGGAGCGCAUCACCUGCGAGCCAGCCCCAGGUCACUCUAGAAUAUUGAUAGGUGUCCCGCGGUGUCUGCCCAAAGCCACCACCCUUCUCCUCCGGCUGCUGCUGCAUCUCCCUAUCUGUGUCUGUGACACUUUGAGCAAGGAUGCCCUCCGCAGUGGGGCUCCCACACUCCAGAAGGACGGGAGCACCUGGUGAGAUGUUUAAAGGCAUCUUCCCUGGCCCCCCAGACACUGACUCAGAGGAAACAGAGACCGAGCAUCAGAAUUCUCAAGCUGCCUGGGAGGCUCUGGUUUAUUUGAUGCUCAGACCACACAUUGAGAGAACAUUUCAGUGGGUGCUACAAAGGUUCUCCGAGUGAGCGAGGUGACAUUGUGUUCCUUGAUUCUGUUCUUUAAUCGCUAAGCUGCACCCUCUCUUUAAACUCCACUAAUGCCACGAUGUGAGGAUACCUCUGGGUUUGAAAAGCCCAUAUUCCAAUAAAACCGCCUGUCACAGCUCUGGAAAAUUAACUACUGACUUCCGUCAUCCCCUUUGUUCAUCCUAGAAAUUUCAGAGCUCUGCAAGAUACACGAUUAUUUUUAAGACUUCAGAUAAUUCUUGUUGCCAAAAUGUUCUGAAAAUCACGAAUUGCUAUAUGAGCUCUCAGUGGUGUUAUUGUACUAGAUUUCCCGACAAUAAAAAUAGGGCUUUUCAUUUCAUCACUUAUAGUAAGUACAGCUAAUACUAAGUAUAAUAAAAAGGGACUUUCUUUUCUCAGAAAGAAAAAUGUUACUCAAGACCUGCUUAGGGAGGGUAUUGAAAAAUAAAAGAACAAUGGUUUUCAACACGUGUAUUUACUAUUAAUUGCAUUUUCAGCCUUUGACACGUCGCUAAUUGAAGGUUCGUUUUAUUUUCCAUGACUUAACUUCAGCAGUUUUUAUCAAUUAUUUCUAAUCAGAAUGACAAAACUGAUUAUUCAUUUGUUUUGAAUUAUUCAUUUUAUUUGAAUGAAAUGGCAUUAUAAUCACCUCGCUGCCUUGUGUCAAAUGUGUUAUAAGAGCACCACGUGCUUCAGAGGUACGCCUCACUUGCACACAACUUUUAAUACCUGUGUGGACGUGUAUACACAUACACAAACACGGAACAAGAGAGCGCUAUGUAGUGGAAUGAGUUUCACGCUGGAUUUAUUUCCUGUGCCUAUGAUCUUCUCAUGAGUUCAUCUUGGGCCAAUCACUGAAGCAAUCCGAACCUCGGCUUUCAUCAGAAAGAAAAUAAGGAGUGUGUGUUUUCAAAGGUGAGAGGGCUCUAGGUAAAAACAGAGAUUUUCCCAAGCGCUGCUUUGGGGUUCCUUUACCAGGGUACAUCUGGAGGAGAGAGUCAGCUCCCCAACCGCACCCAAGACUUCCCUGCAGUUUUGAGGGUGCAGGACACCGACAGUGAGGCUGGAGUAAUGGCAGCCACCUGUGAGGAUCUGCAAGGGUUCGUGAAGGAUUAAGAGAACAGGCUCAGGGGGCCAGCAGCCAAACCCCAGCAAGAGGCCUUGCUGUUGCCCACACACGCUGGCCAAGUCUGGGGCGCCCGGCGGAGCUGGGAGCUGCAGGAGCACACGUGAGACUCCACACCUGAGGGCAGGUGAGGAAGGGUCAGUGUGUCCGAUCAUGGGACCACAAACAUUUUACACUUCCCUUGACUCUGCUCGGAGAAGAAGUAGGGUGUUCAUAUCUUUAAGUCUUAGAUGACAAAACAGAAUUGCAAGGCAUUGAAUGACUUACAUAGAGGUAUAUGUACGUUGUAGUAUAAAUGAUGAUCGCAGAACUUGUGUUCUAAAUUACAUUUUAAACACAGCCCUAUAUGCAAGAUAGAGCCAGCGCGUAGCUACUGCUACACACCUAUUAGAAUGGCUGGAAGUGAAAAGAUUGAUGAGGCCAGAGGUGGAAGAGGAUGUGAGGAAAUGGAACUCUCGUACACAGCUGGUGGAAUGCAAAAUGGUGCCAAAACAUUGGAAACCAGCUUGUCAGUUACUUUACUAAUGCCACCUUCCGACAGCUGUCUACUCCCAGCACUUCCCCCAAAAGAAUGAAGGACUUGUACACAAACAGUCAUAGCAACUUUAUUUGGAAGAGGCCCAAACUGUAAACAGCCCUGGUGCCCAUCAACAGCUGGACGGGAAAUAAACCAUGGCACGCAUGCAACGUUACUCAGUGAUAAAAUGUGUGCUGCUGUCCACAGCGAAGUGGAGAAAUCCACAAUAAUUAUGCCGGCUGACAAAGAAGAAGACACGUUGCGUGGUUCUAUUUACAUAAAAUUCUAGAAAUGAGGAAACUUCGGGGUGUGACAGACAUGUUCAUUUUCUUGAUUGUGGUGACAGUUUCACAGGUACAUUCAUAGGUCAAAACAUCCGAUUGCACAGCUGAGAUAUGUGCAGUUUACUGUAUGUGAACUCUACCUCAUUACAGCUUCUAGGCGAGAAUAAAAAGCCCUGGACAACAAUGAACUCUCCUGCAAUUUUGUCAGUAUGAUUUCGGAAUGUUUGGUCUCAUGAAAUACUUGUAAGAUUUCCAGAGAUUCCUGGGGCCAUUGUAACUCUUUUUUCCUGGGUUCACCAUUGGAUUAAUUCUUGAGGCUUCUUACCUGACUUGUCACCUUGAAAUAUCAGCGAUGUGUGAGAGGGUCAUGAGUGAAAAUCCAGGCACAUAUUUAAAUGCCCAGAGGAGCAGGGCCGACCUACCUCUUUGAAGGGACCAGGACAAAUUCAGGGCCAGAGGGCAGUGCGGAAAAAAUUGGAGCUAAUAGAAUUUAAUUCUCUGUCGAGCAAGCUAUUGAGACAAGCUUGGGCUAUGAAAUCAUAAUUCACAGGAACCUGUCCUGCAUCACCUUCAGGGCUGCGUGGACCAUCAGGCACUCAGGAGAAAGGCGAGAGGAGGUGCCGGUCACAGGGAUCCGGGAGGGUCUGUGCAAGUUCACGGCACACGGCCAGGUUCAAGAGGCUGGUACGGGGAGCCCAGAGAACCCAGCCAACUCCUCCAGGUACCCCGAUCCCAGUCAAAGCAGUGGACACACAGGUAAGGAUAUUUCUUUCACUUGCCGCAUCAAGAGAGUGAAAAAUGCCUGCAGAGCAAGUGCACCUUGUGAAAAAGGGUUUGAGCAAUGGGGACACUGAACCACGUGGUUUCAAUCUACGCUGCCCAUGACUCAUCACACAAGCCCACCUCGUGGCGUCAGAGCCCCUCUGGCUUUGGACUUACGGGCAAAGCAAGGGACUUGGGCUCUAGUCCUGGUUCUGCCACCACCCACUUGUGUGAUCCUACGGAAACGACUUCCAUUCUCUGAUGCCUCACUGAUAGCAGGAGGUGUAAACAGGAGACCAGUCCUCAUGUCUGUGAGCCUGUGAUGUGACUGGGAAGAAUCAUGUUAGAGUUUCUCCCCUUUAGCACAUGUGCUUUGAGUCUAAAGACAUUAUGCGGCUGCAGGACGUACCACCACCAGUGGAUGGAAACUGCAGACUCAGAUUUCUGUUGAACACAAAUCACUGUGCUUGGAAAAUUAAGUCUGUUUGAGCAUAGACUGGGGUAGGAGGUGUCUGCUCCCGAUGGCUUUGCAAGUGGCCUCUUUGAGGGGUGCCCUAGCCCCUAGGCUCCAAACA